GUUUCUGGCUAUACCACCCAAAUGUGACUGAUCUUAUCUGAUCUCAGAAACUAAGCAGAUGUACUUGGAUAGUAGAACGGCUGGGGCCUAAAAACUGGAUACA
Cricetulus griseus (Chinese hamster) is the source of this 103-nucleotide ribosomal RNA. Lineage: Eukaryota; Metazoa; Chordata; Mammalia; Rodentia; Cricetidae. The record is from Ensembl.